RNAcentral lists this ribosomal RNA (449 nucleotides) under uncultured bacterium. RNAcentral describes it as "partial 16S ribosomal RNA". It matches the Rfam family "Bacterial small subunit ribosomal RNA", at positions 29 to 523 of the family's 1533-position model. The record is from RNAcentral.
AACGAACGCUGGCGGCAGGCUUAACACAUGCAAGUCGAACGGGAUCUUCGGAUCUAGUGGCAGACGGGUGAGGAACACGUGGGAACAUCCCUUUCAGUUCGGAAUAACGUUGGGAAACUAACGCUAAUACCGGAUACGUCCUUCGGGAGAAAGAUUUAUCGCUGAAAGAUUGGCCCGCGUCUGAUUAGCUAGUUGGUGUGGUAAUGGCUCACCAAGGCUACGAUCAGUAGCUGAUCUGAGAGGAUGAUCAGCCACAUUGGGACUGAGACACGGCCCCAAACCCUACGGGAGGAGGCAGUGGGGAAUAAUGGACAAUGGGCGCAAGCCUGAUCCAGCCAUGUCGCGUGAGUGAUGACGGCCUUCGGGUUGUAAAGCUCUUUUGUCCGGGAAGAUAAUGACUGUACCGGAAGAAUAAGCCCCGGCAAACUUCGUGCCAGCCGCCGCCGUAA